RNAcentral lists this unclassified non-coding RNA (381 nucleotides) under soil metagenome. Its description in RNAcentral is "partial contains 5.8S ribosomal RNA, internal transcribed spacer 2, and large subunit ribosomal RNA". The stretch from base 1 to 120 matches the Rfam family "5.8S ribosomal RNA", at positions 35 to 154 of the family's 154-position model. The record is from RNAcentral.
GAUGAAGAACGUAGCGAAAUGCGAUAAGUAAUGUGAAUUGCAGAAUUCAGUGAAUCAUCGAAUCUUUGAACGCACCUUGCACCCUUUGGCAUUCCGAAGGGUAUGCUCGUUUGAGUGUCAUUGUACUCUCACACUUCUGAUCCUUUGGAUUGGGAGCGGUGGACUUGGGUGUUGCUGCUUUACUGUGGCUCACCUCAAAUGCAUUCGUGCAACUCUUGGUUGGUCAUAGUACGGCGUGAUAAGUAUCUUCGCCGGCACCUCGCAAGAGGGUGGCUGAUCAGGAGCUCUGUGCUUUCCAACUGUCUUCAGACAACAACUGACAACUUGACCUCAAAUCGAGUAGGACCACCCGCUGAACUUAAGCAUAUCAAAAGCGGAGGA